Molecule: ribosomal RNA, 417 nt
Filed under: uncultured bacterium
Lineage: Bacteria
Description: bacterial SSU rRNA
Rfam family: Bacterial small subunit ribosomal RNA
Source: RNAcentral
UAUUGGGCAAUGGACGCAAGUCUGACCCAGCCAUGCCGCGUGGAGGAUGAAGGUCCUCUGGAUUGUAAACUUCUUUUAUCUGAGAAGAAACCCAAGAUUUCUAUUUUGGUUGACGGUACCAGAUGAAUAAGCACCGGCUAACUCCGUGCCAGCAGCCGCGGUAAUACGGAGGGUGCAAGCGUUAUCCGGAUUCACUGGGUUUAAAGGGUGCGUAGGUGGGUUGCCAAGUCCGUGGUGAAAUCUCCGAGCUUAACUCGGAAACUGCCGUGGAUACUGGUAAUCUUGAAUAUCGUGGAGGUAAGCGGAAUAUGUCAUGUAGCGGUGAAAUGCUUAGAUAUGACAUAGAACACCGAUAGCGGAGGCAGCUUGCUACACGAUCAUUGACACUGAGGCACGAAAGCGUGGGGAGCAAACAGG